Molecule: ribosomal RNA, 717 nt
Filed under: uncultured bacterium
Lineage: Bacteria
Description: bacterial SSU rRNA
Rfam family: Bacterial small subunit ribosomal RNA
Source: RNAcentral
CGCGAAAGCCCCGCAAGGGGUGAGUAGAGUGGCAAACGGGUGAGUAACACGUGGGUGACCUGCCUUCAAGUGGGGGAUAACGUCCCGAAAGGGACGCUAAUACCGCAUAACAUGCUGUUUUUGAACAGAUGGCCAUCAAAGCUGGGGACCGCAAGGCCUGGCGCUUGAAGAGGGGCCCGCGCCUGAUUAGCUAGUUGGUGGGGUAAUGGCUCACCAAGGCUUCGAUCAGUAUCCGGCCUGAGAGGGCGGACGGACACACUGGGACUGAGACACGGCCCAGACUCCUACGGGGGGCAGCAGUGGGGAAUUGUUCGCAAUGGGCGCAAGCCUGACGACGCAACGCCGCGUGGAGGAUGAAGACCUUCGGGUCGUAAACUCCUUUCGAUCGAGACGAAUGGUCUCUGGGUGAACAGCCCGGGGAAGUGACGGUACCGAGAGAAGAAGCCCCGGCUAACUCCGUGCCAGCAGCCGCGGUAAUACGGGGGGGGCAAGCGUUGUUCGGAAUUACUGGGCGUAAAGGGCUCGUAGGUGGCCAACUAAGUCAGACGUGAAAUCCCUCGGCUUAACCGGGGAAUGGCGUCUGAUACUGGAUGGCUUGAGUUCGGGAGAGGGAUGCGGAAUUCCAGGUGUAGCGGUGAAAUGCGUAGAUAUCUGGAGGAACACCGGUGGCGAAGGCGGCAUCCUGGACCGAGACUGACACUGAGGAGCGAAAGCCAG